This 491-nucleotide ribosomal RNA is filed under the name uncultured bacterium. Its description in RNAcentral is "partial 16S ribosomal RNA". It matches the Rfam family "Bacterial small subunit ribosomal RNA", at positions 29 to 507 of the family's 1533-position model. The record is from RNAcentral.
AUGAACGCUAGCUACAGGCUUAACACAUGCAAGUCGAGGGGAAACGGCAUUAAGUGCUUGCACUUUUUGGACGUCGACCGGCGCACGGGUGAGUAACGCGUAUCCAACCUUCCCAUGACUAAGGGAUAACCUGCCGAAAGGCAGACUAAUACCUUAUGGUCUUCACUGACGGCAUCAGAUGUGAAGUAAAGAUUUAUCGGUUAUGGAUGGGGAUGCGUCUGAUUAGCUUGUUGGCGGGGUAACGGCCCACCAAGGCAACGAUCAGUAGGGGUUCUGAGAGGAAGGUCCCCCACAUUGGAACUGAGACACGGUCCAAACUCCUACGGGAGGCAGCAGUGAGGAAUAUUGGUCAAUGGGCGAGAGCCUGAACCAGCCAAGUAGCGUGCAGGAUGACGGCCCUAUGGGUUGUAAACUGCUUUUGUAUGGGGAUAAAGUCAAUCACGUGUGAUUGUUUGCAGGUACCAUACGAAUAAGGACCGGCUAAUUCCGUG